This 511-nucleotide ribosomal RNA is filed under the name uncultured Bacillota bacterium. RNAcentral's name for it is "bacterial SSU rRNA". It matches the Rfam family "Bacterial small subunit ribosomal RNA", at positions 355 to 857 of the family's 1533-position model. Lineage: Bacteria; Bacillati; Bacillota. The record is from RNAcentral.
UAGGGAAUCUUCCACAAUGGACGAAAGUCUGAUGGAGCAACGCCGCGUGAGUGAAGAAGGUUUUCGGAUCGUAAAACUCUGUUGUAAGGGAAGAACACGUACGAGAGUAACUGCUCGUACCUUGACGGUACCUUAUUAGAAAGCCACGGCUAACUACGUGCCAGCAGCCGCGGUAAUACGUAGGUGGCAAGCGUUGUCCGGAAUUAUUGGGCGUAAAGCGCGCGCAGGCGGUCCUUUAAGUCUGAUGUGAAAGCCCACGGCUCAACCGUGGAGGGUCAUUGGAAACUGGGGGACUUGAGUGCAGAAGAGGAAAGCGGAAUUCCACGUGUAGCGGUGAAAUGCGUAGAGAUGUGGAGGAACACCAGUGGCGAAGGCGGCUUUCUGGUCUGUAACUGACGCUGAGGCGCGAAAGCGUGGGGAGCAAACAGGAUUAGAUACCCUGGUAGUCCACGCCGUAAACGAUGAGUGCUAAGUGUUAGGGGGUUUCCGCCCGUUAGUGCUGCAGCUAACG